GACGAACGCUGGCGGCGUGCUUAACACAUGCAAGUCGAACGAUGAACCCGGAGCUUGCUCCGGUGGAUUAGUGGCGAACGGGUGAGUAACACGUGAGUAACCUGCCCUUGACUCUGGGAUAACUGCGGGAAACUGUAGCUAAUACCGGAUACGACCCUCGGCGGCAUCGCCAGGGGGUGGAAAGAAUUUCGGUCAAGGAUGGACUCGCGGCCUAUCAGCUAGUUGGUGAGGUAACGGCUCACCAAGGCGACGACGGGUAGCCGGCCUGAGAGGGUGACCGGCCACACUGGGACUGAGACACGGCCCAGACUCCUACGGGAGGCAGCAGUGGGGAAUAUUGCACAAUGGGCGAAAGCCUGAUUCAGCAACGCCGCGUGAGGGAUGAAGGCCUUCGGGUUGUAAACCUCUUUUAGUAGGGAAGAAGCGAAAGUGACGGUACCUGCAGAAAAAGCACCGGCUAACUACGUGCCAGCCGCCGCAGUAA
RNAcentral lists this ribosomal RNA (484 nucleotides) under uncultured bacterium. Its description in RNAcentral is "partial 16S ribosomal RNA". It matches the Rfam family "Bacterial small subunit ribosomal RNA", at positions 28 to 523 of the family's 1533-position model. The record is from RNAcentral.